This 268-nucleotide unclassified non-coding RNA is filed under the name Hevea brasiliensis (rubber tree). The record is from RNAcentral. Lineage: Eukaryota; Viridiplantae; Streptophyta; Magnoliopsida; Malpighiales; Euphorbiaceae.
UUUUAUUUACUAUCGAACCUGUCUUUCCCAAAAGAGACUAAAAGCAAGACAAUUGGAAGGGUGGAAAAGAAUUUUCGACAAAGAUCUUAUAUAAACCUAAUUACACAGGCCAUUGCUCUUAAUUGACACUAUAGUUUUCAGACUCAUUGUGCAAAGAAUCAAAAUAGGGAUGGACAUGCUGAACUGCUUCAACGUACAAAGGUGUCUGCAUCUCAAUCAAACGCGAGACCUGCAUCAAAAGGAUCUUCCGUUCAACACAAUAUCCUCG